CCACCACCUAGCAUCGACUGGGGGUGAUCUUCCGACUUGAGAGAGGAUGAGGAGAGAGUCCCAUUGCAGAAAUGGGACUAAUAAUGCCUAAUUAUAGGCUUUACACACACACACACACACACACACACACACACACACACACACACACACUCCCCCUGGAGCAAGAGGCUGGAGUGCUGGGUCUCGUGACCCAGCCAUGUUUCCCCAGCUCAGAGGUCCUAUUACUGUCACUAAGGAGUUUCACCCAGCCUUAAGGCAGUUCAGAAAACCCCACCCAUUACUGAAAAAGCUAGAUAUUUCCCCACCUCCACAUGCUUGCACUGGGGAGCCCCUCCCAGACUUAUUUCCCCUCAUAACACCCAGCUGACUAAGGACAACCCAGCCCCACUGCAUCUGAGUCCACCUGCCUCCAAGCAGGCCACUUUCUACAUCUCUGGACAGCCCAUGAACGGGAAUGAUGGCACCUGCCAGCCUGAGCCCCCUGUGCCCACCGUCUGGGGUCCCACAGGCUGCCCCACCUGUGUGCUGUUUUCCUCAGCACCUCCCCCUCGCUGUCCCUCCUCCGUUUCUCCAUGGCACUCAUGAAGUUCUCCUUCUGAACUGUUUCCCAGGUCCCCUGGCUACACCUGGCCAAGCCUGCCAGGCAGCACAGGCUGAGGUUGCCAUCCUGACUCCUGAUUCCAUCCCUGUCUUCUCCAGGCUGUGUGCUGGGGCAUGACUGUCGUGACAAAUUCCUGCCUUGCGAUCCCAGUGAGUUAUUCUGAUUGGUCAACCCACGGGUGAGUAAUGGAGUGUUGUAUUGUAUGGAGGGGUGCGUCAGCCAUCUGAGAGUGCCAGAUCCCAUCCUGUCCCGUCCAAGGCUGCAUUAGCAGCCACCCCCGCCCCCCAGCCUAUGAAUCUGCUCCUAAUGUUGUUCCCCCACUCUCUUCUCUCCUCUUGGUGCCCCAGAUGGGUGGCCAAGCCCUCCUUUGUGAAGCCGUAAAUCUACACCUGCCUGAGGUCUGAGAAGGCCCACACGGCCUAGUUGAAUGCAAAUUUGGCCCUGGAGCCCAGAGCUCGGUGGAAGGACGGGCAAGUGUGGUGUGGAGGGAAUGGAAGGGGAGGGAAAGGAAGUGAAGAGAAGGACUUCCGUGUCUCUUUACUCCAAAAACUGGGCCAGAAUUACCCAGGCCUUAGUUUCCCUCUGAGCACAGGCAUGUUAGAGAAUACCAGUCCGCUGUCAGCACAGUAGACACAGUGUGAGGGGAAGGGCACUGACGAACCUAGUGAGGGGGUUGGCAAGACUGUUCCAUGACUCGCUAGGCCUGCCACAUCCCCAGUGGUUCUGCUGACCCUGCAGUGGCCUCCGUGCCUAGACUGAGGACUUUCUAUCCCACUGCCCUUCUAGGCUGCCAGUGGCCUGAACCUCUUCCCCAAUGCCUGUGGAAGAGAGACCAGAGUUAUAGCUACUAGGGAACUGAGACCCCAGAGCUGCUGGGCUGAGACAUUCAACUUCCUCUUCCUGCCCCCAGGGAUUGGGGCCAUGAGGCCAUAUGGUGAGGGGGGAGGGAAGAGGCAGGCAAUAUCUGCUUAAGCUAAUGGCCUAGAAAAGCGAUGUCUCAGGUUGAGCAAACACCGAAGGCACUGGGGUGGGGAGAAAAAAACAACCUAGGGUAUGGCUUGGAAACACCCCAAUUAGAAGUUAAUUUCCAGCCCUUCUGUUCCUGGAGGCCUGGACUUGCUCCAGUCUUACUGUCCUCUAUUGACAAAUAUUCAUUGAGCGUCAUGAUUGCUGACCUGGCCUCAUUAUUGGCCUCCCCCAGGAUGGCUAGGGUCAGGUCUCUACUGACUAUCCAAGCUGCAUGGCCCCACAGUUGGAUAACCCUAAAUCCCUUGACACUAGCAUGAACACUGACCCUUAUGCCUCAAUCUGCACCCCAUCUCUAAGCCUGUGCAUGCUCAAUAGUGCCAUGUGGAGCUGCUGUCCUGAGCCCCGACUCUCUAGGCCCCUUUAUCUGUCUGAUGAGCCGGAUCCCUCUGUUUGCCCAAUCUUAGCCAUCUUAGGUCUUCACAGGUCCCCAUUCUGGCUCCAGGUUUUUCAUUCCUCCACCACCCACAGGCCCCCUGCUGUAAGUUCCCAGCUGCACCCACUUGUCAUGCAGUCCUAGGAUCUCCAUCAGCCCUAGACAGGUGCAGGGCCUAGCUUGAGGGGACACCCAUGAUUAUAGAUAAGCCACACACCAUUGACACCAACAGGCAACACACACAAGUUGGAUGGAUCCUUAAUGAAAGCAAGGUCCAGUUGGAAAUGGUGAGCAGAUGGACCACAGGGAAACUGCAGCCAGGUGAAGAAGCAACGUGGAAUAGCCAGGGUGGCCUGGGUUCUUCAUGCUGUGCUCGUAGUGUCUGCCCGUCCUCUGCCCCUCACAAGACCCCCUCAAGGGCCAGCCCAGCCCUAGACCCCCUCAGACAGAAAUCCAGCUCUGGCUAUUUGGCAUCUCUAUGGCCUACUUUCCAGUCAGGGGAAAGAUGAGGGCUCCAUGGCCACUUGUGUCUUGCCCUGCUUCUGGAUCCCAGCCUGUGGCCUAGACUUAGGAUGUCAUUGUCUCAGGCAUUUCCAGCCAGGGCCUUGGUGACACAGAAAUGAGACCACAUAUCCUGGAGCCCACCAGCCCACCAGCCCACCUUCCUGGCUCAACACAAACCAUCAAUCUCGUCCAGAGGGAUUUGCCCAAAGAUCUGCAGGUAAGGCCGGUAGAGCACACGGCGGAAAAUCCACUCCAGACGGCCAUCGUGGGGGUGCAGCAGGGCCUGAGUCGUCACACCGUAGGCCACAAGCCACACGCUCAGGAAAAAGAGGAAGAAGAAGACAUCCUUCAUCUGCAGGGGGAUGAGGGUCACAGUCACGGAUGGACUGGAUGGGAACUCACCUCAAGGAGUCAGAGGGGCUCAUUUUCCUCCGUAUGGGAGUCCAGAGAGCUUACCCUCACCUAGGGCUGGAGUUCCUGGGUUCUCACCUCAGCCAAGGAUUAGGGUGUCAGGGUUCUCACCACCACCUUGGUUGGGGUUUCAGUACUUACCCCCAUCCAGGGUUGAAAGUCCCAGGAUUCUCACCACUACCAGGGUUGGGAUAUCACAGGGCUCAUCACCACUCAAGGUCAAGGUCCAAGGGGGCUCACCCCUAACAUAAGUUAGGGUUCUGGGGGCUCACCUCCACCCAGGGCUAGGGUCCUAUCUACCCAAACCUGGAGGUAUAGGGGUCACCCCUUUAGUUGGACACAGUGGUAGCUCACUCUCAUCCAGAGUUAAAGUCCAGGGCCCUUACCAUUCGAGUCAGUGUUCUUUUGGGCUCCUCAGCUAUCCAGAACUGGGGUCCCAGGGGACUCACCCUCAAUAGGUUUAGGGUCCCGAGGACUCACCAUCCACUGGGUCAAAAUGCCCCAUCUAUCCAAGGCUGGGGGCCCAGUGCCUCACCCCCCUCAGGGGUCAGGGUCCCACAGACCCACCAUCCGCUCUACAAUGAUGAUCUUAGGACCCAGCUGCUUGUGAAUGGCAAAGAUGUGGAUGAGCCGAAGUGUGAACACCAUGAAAUCAAUGGCCAGAACAGUGCGUCCAGCCUCAAACACCGAGGGCAGCAUCCUGGAGAGAGACAAAGGCUGGGUAGGGCUGUUGGUACCCACAGAGGGCCAGAGGCUUUCCCCAAGACACAGUAUGCUAGCUAAAUGGCCAAAAGGCAGGUUCCAGGACCAUGCUAGGAUUUCAGAGAGCUGAGUGGGUCCCCUAGGGCCUGCCCACCAGCCCGUCUGAGGCUACAGACCUACAGGUGACACCAACAAUGAACAGGAAGAUGGCCACCAUGUCACACUUGUUCCAGUUGUCCUCUACAUACAGAGUGAACUUCUUCACCAAGUGUGUGUCCUCAUCUGUAAAGAAGCCCUGACAGAGGGAGGAAGUCUGGUUAUAGCAGCCAGGUCCACCUUGCUGAGACCAGGGUAGAAUCUGCAUGUGUCAGGGCUCAGUUUGUCAAGCUGAUCAGAACUAAUUGGUGACUAGGACCCCGUGUAUGGCUAGGACUGGGAGUAUCAGUUGAAGAGAUUUCAGGACUAAGUCUGGGACAAAAAGUGAGGUCAAGCUGAAUCUGGAGUCAGGACUGUCUGUGACUAAAACUCAGGGUCAAUUUACAUUGCAUGUCUGGACUUAGCCAGUGACUCAGGUCAGGGUUCAGACUCUGACUAGGGAAUCAUGAUCAUGACCAAGCUGGAACAGGGAUUGAAGCUCAGGAUGGAGCUGAAAUCAGCUCUGUUUGUGAUCGUGAUCAGGGCUCUGACUGUGACCAACAUCAAGACUCUGUGAUGACCCUUGAUCAAGAUAAGGGCUUGGUCUGGAGCUGGGAUUGGGGCUCAGUCUGUGACCAGGGCCAUGAUGCAGUAGACUGGGUUGACAAGAAGGCCACACAGUGGUCUUGUUCUAUAGAUGAAAAGUCUUAGCCCCCCCGCCUUCCAGAGCAGGCCCCACCUGGAGCUACAUCUAACAUAGCCUGAGCUGCAGAGCCCAGGAGUAGGCCAUGCUGUCCACUGACCUGUCGGAUUUCCUCCAGGACCAGUGUGAACACCCAGAAAUAGAGGGUAACCUCAGACCCAGAUGGCCCCUGGGGAGGUGGCUUGAAGUCUACCAGCAGGACAUAGGUGAACAGGAAGAGGAAUGCAAAGUACAUGACCACAUUCCCCAGGAACACAGUCACAGGAGCUCCCCAGAACUUCCUCCACCGUGUGAGCAGGAAGGCGGCCUGUGGGCCUAGAUCGCCUGGAGCCCUUGGUGUCUCUGUCAGCUUCUCCAAUCUGUGUGGGUAUGGAGGAGGUCACCAUGGUGAAGAGGCACCUAACCACGGUACCCGCAAGGGAGCCUGCCUCUGUCUACCUGUGUCUAUCCACUGGCCACUGCUGAGUGGUAGUCCUUACUCUCUCCAUCCUUCCCAGCCUCCUCCAUUCUUUUUAAACUUCAUGCUCCCCAGCCUUCUCUAUCAUUCUGGGCCUCACUCUGUCCCUUCUAUAGUCCCCUCCAUUUUUCCUACCCUCUGUCUUUCUGGGCCCAUUCUGUCUUCCCCACUUUCCUUGCUCCUCCUAUCUUUCCUCACUCCAUCCUUCCUGGCCCCCUCUAUGCAUUUCACCACCCUGCCACCCCUUACUGGCCGCCCUGGUUGCACAGGAAGCUCUUUUCCACAUCCAAGCUGUCCAGCUCCUGCAGAUCUUCCAGGUCCAUCCUCUGCGGGACAUCCUCACUGCAACACAGGGAAGGAUAGCCGAAGCACACAGAGAAGGAAGUACUAGGCCCACCGAGAAGAAGGAGGACUCACAUAGUCAACUGGACAUUGGGCUAUGAGAAGUGGGAACAGUGAGAGACUCUGGCACCUGCAUAAACCAACCUGAAGGUGAUGAGGUUGGUAUAGAUGAGCGCUGGGCAGGUGAAGGCACCCAGCAGCCGUAGGAUGGGCGUGCCUGUGGCCAUGUCUCCCCACCAGAUCUUGGUCAGGAAUGCCUAGAAUAAAGUCACAUGUUCCAGAUGCCUAUCACUCCUGAUCCUCCUGUUUCCACCUCCCUAGUGAUGGGAUUGUUGUCACGGACCACUGCAGCUGAUUUAUUCAGUUCUGGGGAUUGAACCCAGGGCUUCAUGCAUGCUGUACACUCUAUUAAAUGAGCCACUAUUGUAACCUUUCAGGAACAGAAUUAGGGGUUGGGGUUAAGGACAACCAAACUGAGAACAGGUGUUGCUGGGUCUAAGAACCAAGCUAGAAAAGCAUCCCUGAUGAAGGAAGCUGGAACCCAGCCACUCUUCCUGGUCCCUCCCCUAUGUAGCUUGGGCAUGGGCUGGAAGCUGUAGACUGGGACAUUAUUAGCUGAGAUACCUCAGUGUCCUGGGUGGGUAACCUGGACCCUGCCAACCCUUCUUAUCCUCAAGCCAUCCAUCCUUAGGCCGAUCAGCCACUCACUUGCACACCAUCAUGGGCAAAGAAGGCCUUGGCAUCAGCUUCAGUGGCCAGGUGCAAGCAAGUGGUCCUGCUCCAGCUGUGGUUCCUGCGCACCAGCAGGGCAAAGGCACGGUCCUCACUGUUGCUGUAGCACUCAGAGAAAAGAUCUGUGCACGAAGCCAGCUGCUAGGAUGGGGUGCUGAAGCCUGGUUCCUGGGUCCCCGUCCUCUGCAGCAUACAUCCUGCAUCUGCUUUCUAAGGUCCAGCCAGGCCUCCCAUGCUACAGGGCCCCUGAGAGUUCCUGCCUGGCCCCAGGGCCCUUCCCAACCUCUGACCUUCUCUGGCCCUUCCCCUUCCCUCUUAGUACUGUGAAGGCCUCAAUUGACACAAAGGGCUUCCACUCUGUGGUAGGGACCAGUACAUGACUAUCAUGUACUGUAACAUCUCCACCUCCCUGUAGGACUUUUUGACUAACCUCCACCCCCAGAAGGAACUGCCCUGAGUUCUGCUCUACACUGGAGGCCAUGGGGGUCACCCUGAGCCACUUGCUGAAGACAGCUAAUCCCUUGUCUACAGGGGAGCAGGAACAGAGACCUUCGACCUGUCACUUACCCAGGGCCAGCUGUUCAUACUUGGCCUCACGCAUGGUGCGGGCCACCUCCGCUUCUUUCUCCAGGAUGUCAAGGGAGCUGUGGACUGAGGUGGCUGCUCACCAUGGCCCAGAAGUAUGUGGCCAUCUCAUAACGGUUCUGUAGCACAGCC
This is a long non-coding RNA of Peromyscus leucopus (white-footed mouse), 6706 nucleotides long. RefSeq lists it as uncharacterized. NCBI's taxonomy places the organism in Eukaryota, Metazoa, Chordata, Mammalia, Rodentia, Cricetidae. The transcript has 4 exons. The record is from RefSeq and is a predicted model, not a curated record.